UAUAGGGGAUAAUAGGGUGCCAUUUUUCAUGCACACUUCGAUCCCAGUUUCGUUGAGACAGCCCCAACCACUUAAAUCCAUUGUGUUCACAGAUAAAGCUCUGGUUUCAUUUUGUUUAGAAAAGGAUCUUUUUAAAUCUGAUUGCCAAAUAAUAAGGUGAUUGUAUUUUGCGAUAUGCCACAUAUUACAAGACACGUAAAUACACGUGCUAGUUACUGAACAUGUACCUGCAGACAGAGAACAGUGUUGUUUUCAGACUGUCUCUUCUGUAGAUACCAAGUCCCGUGAGUCAUGUAGAACUUGUAUAAGCCUGUUUGGGGAACCCCGGGUUGGGGGCAGAACUUGUGUGUAGAGAGUGAACAUACUUUAAUUGGCAGUACAAGAUAUGUAUUUUAAGACACACAGCUUUGUCUGUUCAUGUAGGUCUGGCUCAGAGAACGACUACUGUUGUCUAAUGUCCUCCUUCAUGUUGGUCUGGCUCAGAGAGUGUUGUCUAAUGUCCUCCUUCAUGUAGGUCUGGCUCAGAGAACGACUACUGUUGUCUAAUGUCCUGUUUCAUGUAGGUCUGGCUCAGAGAGUGUUGUCUAAUGUCCUCCUUCAUGUAGGUCUGGCUCAGAGAACGACUACUGUUGUCUAAUGUCCUGUUUCAUGUAGGUCUGGCUCAGAGAACGACUACUGUUGUCUAAUGUCCUGUUUCAUGUUGGUCUGGGUCAUGUUCAUAUUGGUGCAAAACAGAAGAAAAAAAACCAGAGUGAAACAGUGGGGUACUUACCUGUCCAAUAAGAAACGCUCAUGUCAGUUUUUUCCCUUUGCGUUCCCUGAUGGAUUUGUUCUGUAGUAAUAUAUGUUGUAGUAAAGGACAAUAACACUGGUUUUGUUCUGUAGUAAUAUAUGUUGUAUUAAAGGACAAUAACACUGGUUUUGUUCUGUACUAAUAUAUGUUGUAUUAAAGGACAAUAACACUGGUUUUGUUCUGUAGUAAUAUAUGUUGUAUUAAAGGACAAUAACACUGGUUUUGUUCUGUACAAAUAUGUUGUAUUAAAGGACAAUAACACUGGUUUUGUUCUGUACUAAUAUAUGUUGUAUUAAAGGACAAUAACACUGGUUUUGUUCUGUAGUAAUAAAUGUUGUAUUAAAGGACAAUAACACUGGUUUUGUUCUGUACAAAUAUGUUGUAUUAAAGGACAAUAACACUGGUUUUGUUCUGUACUAAUAUAUGUUGUAUUAAAGGACAAUAACACUGGUUUUGUUCUGUAGUAAUAUAUGUUGUAUUAAAGGACAAUAACACUGGUUUUGUUCUGUACAAAUAUGUUGUAUUAAAGGACAAUAACACUGGUUUUGUUCUGUAGUAAUAAAUGUUGUAUUAAAGGACAAUAACACUGGUUUUGUUCUGUACUAAUAUAUGUUCUAUUAAAGGACAAUAACACUGGUUUUGUUCUGUAGUAAUAAAUGUUGUAUUCAAGGACAAUAACACUGGUUUUGUUCUGUACAAAUAUGUUGUAUUAAAGGACAAUAACACUGGUUUUGUUCUGUACUAAUAUAUGUUGUAUUAAAGGACAAUAACACUGGUUUUGUUCUGUACUAAUAUAUGUUGUAUUAAAGGACAAUAACACUGGUUUUGUUCUGUACUAAUAUAUGUUCUAUUAAAGGACAAUAACACUGGUUUUGUUCUGUACUAAUAUAUGUUGUAGUAAAGGACAAUAACACUGGUUUUGUUCUGUACUAAUAUAUGUUGUAUUAAAGGACAAUAACACUGGUUUUGUUCUGUACUAAUAUAUGUUGUAGUAAAGGACAAUAACACUGGUUUUGUUCUGUACUAAUAUAUGAUGUAUUAAAGGACAAUAACACUGGUUUUGUUUUGUAAGACUCAAACAUUCUUCCAUGUGUUUAUGUUUUUUUGCUGGACUGACUGAAGGAUAAUUCUUCAGUCUGGGAUAAUGUGACACAAGGAAAACGAAUCAAUCAGGACAAUGUUUCAGUUUAAUCCUCCCACUCAACAGGUAUUUUAUGUUCCAGCAGUGCAUCAAAAAGGUACAUUUUUAAAAAAUCGUGAUGUACUUAAGCUUUUGGGUCGUGGAAACUGGGCCGUUGCUUCUGCAUCGAGGUAGAGAGAACAUACUAGAAGCGUUCUUCAGAAAACAACAGAAGGUUUAGGACACUUUGUGUCACACGUUGGGAUCUGACGUGCUUUAAAUAAAUAAAUAAAAAAGUUGUUUUGACACUUCUACAGAGAUGUAGUUUUUUUUGGGGGGGGGGGGGGGGUGGGGGUAUAGUAUCACACCUGAUUUUAACUUUCCCUGAACACCAAGCCAUUUGAAUAUCUCUUAUAUUAGAAUAGAGGAAGUUUACUGUCUCUGCAUCCAGGCACGUCUCUUAUCUUUCAGUGUGUUUGGGACCACGGUGGAUUUGUCAUCACGAACGGCAUCAAUGCUUUAGGAAAUGUGAUGACGUGUUAUUGUUGGGGUCUAUUUUAAAUGUACAUUGUGCCAUAAAGGUAGACACAUGCUGUAUAUGUAUAGACAGAACAACAAUAAAUAAAU
Molecule: non-coding RNA, 2540 nt
Organism: Oncorhynchus mykiss (rainbow trout)
Lineage: Eukaryota; Metazoa; Chordata; Actinopteri; Salmoniformes; Salmonidae
Source: RefSeq, a predicted model, not a curated record